Molecule: long non-coding RNA, 406 nt
Organism: Chinchilla lanigera (long-tailed chinchilla)
Lineage: Eukaryota; Metazoa; Chordata; Mammalia; Rodentia; Chinchillidae
Exons: 3
Source: RefSeq, a predicted model, not a curated record
GGGAAAAUAACUUCGCAAUGGAGGAACCUGGCAGACACCACUUUAACAAGAUGAUCAAGAUUAGUAUCAUCAGUAACAAGAUAAUUUCAGAUCUAAAACAAUGACGUGGGGCAGAGUCAGAAUCUGAGUGAGAAAGCGAUGGCAUCUGCACAGAGGGAUUGCCAAGACUGUCAAGGCCCAAGCAAACUGAGGAUGGCCACACACAUCGCAGUACAGAAAGAGAUGUCAGAACCUGAGCGAGUCAAGAGGAGAAUCAGAAGCAUAUAAUAUUGCAGAAGAAUAAAUCUGAAGACUGCUAGUGAUCAAAAAAGUGAAGACUGGAGAAAGAAGGCACUGGAUUUAGUAAUGAAAGAAAUUGCUAAUACUCAGAAGACAUUUCAGUAGUAGUGCACUGGGUGAAAGAUGA